This 796-nucleotide long non-coding RNA is filed under the name Monodelphis domestica (gray short-tailed opossum). Its description in RNAcentral is "lncRNA (ENSMODG00000045638.1)". The record is from RNAcentral. Lineage: Eukaryota; Metazoa; Chordata; Mammalia; Didelphimorphia; Didelphidae.
CCUACUCCAAUCCCCUAACCUAACAAAGGAGGAAUCUGGGUCCCAGAGAAGGGAAAGACUUGUGCAAAAUCACAGAAACACAUUUUCAUUGAACAGUCCUAAUUGGCAAUGGAUAAAGUGGCAAGAGCACUGGAAUUGGAAUGAGACCUAGUUUCAAAACCUGGCAAUGAAAUGGUCCAGCUGUGUGACAGAUUCUCAGGCUCUUUCUGAAUUGGGAAAAGAGGUUGGAAAAAGGAAUGGCUUUCCAGAGAGGAUUCCACCAACCAUUCAUGACAGAAGCACUGGGAGGGUACAAGCCUUCCCAGGACAAGAUCAUCAUAGUACCAGCUCCUAGACCUGCAGUCUGUGAACUUUUUAAAAUUUGAUAACUAUAUUUAAAUAUAAUUUCUUUCCCCCAGUAUACUUAGUUAUAGGCACUUCAAAACAUUAUUCUGAGAAGGGAUCGAUAGGCAGCUAGGUAGUACAAUAGAUUAGAGCCCUGGACUUGGAAUCAGAAGCGCUCAUCCUCCUGAUUUCCAAUCUGAGGUAGCUGUAUGACUGUGGGGAAGUCAUUUAACCAAGUUUAUCUCAGUUCCUCAUCUACAGAAUGAAUUGGAGAAGGGAAUGGCAAAUCCCUCCAGCAUCUUUGUCCAGAAAAUGCCAGAUGGUGUCAUGAAGAGUCAGAUGUGGCUGAAAUGACUCAACAAGCAUAGACUGCCCAAAGGGUGCCUAACCCAGAAAAUCUUGCCUGAGUUCAAAGACACAUUACCCUGCUUACCUUUUUAAGUCCUCCACACCCUGCCUCUCCUGUUCUGCA